GUAAGUAUUCUCUUAAAUUCAGAGUAAAAAUAGAACAUUAGGUUAUUCUAGAGCUGACAUUUCAGCCAUGAAGCACUUAAGAUAUGAAAAAGAUGGAUCUGGGGAAAUAAUUUGUCACGAGAAAUAUAAAUUUUAAUCUCCAAAUACUCCAGAACGGUACUGCAGAAUUGGGCAAAUCAGCUACAUAUUGGCAUAACAACACUAAGAAUAGAGAUCUCUACAGAGCUUUGCAAAAAGAGACUUUUCUACAGAUGGAAAAACUUAGACACAGAGUUAAAGUUAGCCCUGUAAAAAAACAGCGGAGGAAAACAAGCAGUUCAAGUGUCUGCUCAUGCGCACGGGCUUGUUUCCUUGUUUUCUUUCCCAGUGUUGACCUUUGGCUGCCCCAAAGUUGUCAGAGCAUCGAUUAGACACUGCAGAGGAGGAAACUGGUGGUGAAGUUGGAAGAUAAACCUCAAAGAGUUUCAGGCAUUCAAGGGAUGAGGCUGACUGAGCUGCUUAAAUACUGGAUGUAUCCAAAAUACAACCAAGGCCGUAAUGGGAUCAAGGUAGCAGCUCAUCACUGGGGACCUUUCAGUUUCCUGCCAUCCAAGACGAGGCGUGGAGCAGAAGACCACCCUCAUCCUCACAGACCCCCGAGCCCAGAGGCAGAUUAAUGAAGAGUGAAGAAGACUUACAGAGCCAGACCGACGCAGUGUUUGUUAGUGGAGAAAGACCUUAGAUGUGUAUGGGUGGGUCUAGUCCCUCUUUCAUCUUCCCCCACGGCAGUCACCAUGUCCAUGUGCUGCCUCGGGAGCCAAGGUCCAGCAAGGAGCAGAGACAACAAAGGGGGUGAAGCUGUUUGCUGCUGUUUUCAAAUUCAGUACUAAAUUAUACUCCACGUUUUAGGUACCAAGCAGGCAAUCUCAACAAAGUUCCUAUCCACUUACUUAGUGUCCCUGACCUAUCAGGGAUGCUGGAGCUCCUUUUGCAGAGGGACCAAUGCACCCACUGUGUAAUUAAGGGCACCACUGAAGUUUAAAAAUAAUCCUAUUGGUGAACAUAGAGAGAGCAGAGUCAGUGGGAGGCCAAAGCAUCCCAAAUCCAUACAGGGAACAGGCCUGCAGAGGUGCUGGCUGCAUGGAGGAGGACAGGUCAGUCCCAGCGCCAACUUAGCUCUGGGCUUCUUGAAGAGCUGCAGUGGGAUUUGUGAGGUGGGAGUCCCACUGUCAUGCUUCAUGCUGGCCACCGACAGCUGUGAAAUGUUAGUUGUCUUUCAGUACGAGCCGGCGUGCAGCUGGGGAGUAUUCCUUACAUCUUGCUCAAAAAAAUCCAAAACAUCUUGGGAGAGGAAUCUGCGUGCAUAGCUGUGCAGGCAGGGAGGAAGGGCUCUGCUCCCUGCCCGUCCUCGGAGCAGCCACCACCCAGCGCCACCUUUCCAGGCAUGGCCACCCUGUCCCAACGGGGCUGGGGCUGCCCUGUGACUCACUGGGCUGGUGGCAGUGUGAUAUCUUUGCCUGGCUUUGCCUGCUUUCCAUUUUGAAAGGGUUUUUCUACAUUAUAGGUGAUGACAUUAUGUCCUAGAGAGCCAAGAGCUGAAGGCAGAUGCAGGCUGGGACUGCUAGUAGUGAAGAAAGUUCAGAAUAACAGCUUUGUAGCUGCAGGCCCUGGGAUUUUAUACAGGGUGUUAGAAACAGUUUGAGGGAAAGAGCAAGCUUUCCUGUGUCUCAAGUGAGAUGCACACCAAAUAUGCGGUUGCUACUACUGAUUUUAGGAAGCAGGUUUUCCAAAGUGAGUGAGUUGUGUGUUCCCACAUAUAUUAUCAGCAGUUAUUUUGUAAUGAACUUUGUUGAAAUUCCCAUAAAAGGCUUACGGUAAUUUUGCUACCUGGCCUCCAAUGCUUCUAAGAGGAGAUGUGCAGACAGAGACACAAAUGAUGGAUGGCAAGAAGAUGGAAUAGGAGCCACCCAGGAACUCUGCAAAGAAACUCCCUUUAAAAUUGAAGGACAAUCAUUUAAAAAGUAUUUUAAUCAGAUUUUUAAAAAAUGGUAAUGCACAUGUGCUGAGGAACUUUCAAAAUCAAGCCAUGUAUUUUGGUAGCUACGGGAGCUUUCAGACCCCUCAUCUAAAAGACCCAACCUUCAUUCUGUAGGUCUGAUGAGUCAAUGUAUUUAAUCUCUAGUCAUAAGGUCACUCAAUUGGACUCCAGAAGACACGUAGCAUUUUUUGAUACACGUGGUCUAUCACCAUAAUUGUUACUUCAACUGAAUACCUUCCAUUGUCAUGCUGUAACAAUCUGUGGGGGCUGAGGUUUUGCAGCUGGCUGCCUUGUUUGAGCUGUCUGGGGCUGGUGCAGCUGAGCUAAACCCAGGCUCUGAUGUUUGUGGUGGAGGAAGAGCUCCCUGAGGAGCCCACCGAUCCCCCAAAGACAGGGUAACUUAGCCCCCAAAGACAGGGCAACUCAGAUUGGAAGACAGUAAUGGAGAUCUGCAGACAAAAUGUAUGUGUCUCCCACCCACCCUCAAAAAAAACCAACAAACAAACAAAUAAUCAAAAAUGCACCAUAAACCUAAACUCCUGCUCUGAAUGGAUUGCUUCAGGUGCUGAGGUAACGCCAGGUGACCGGAUUGUACCCCAAGGGAGCAGUCCCAUGAUGGCAAGGUGAAUCUCUUCUUGGAAGUGCCUCUCUCUUCCUUGACUGCCAGGGAAUCCUAAUAACUUGUUUAGAAUAGACACCUAGUUUUUAGACAGUUUUUUUUUUGGAUUAACUGAGGUGAAUCCACCCUUCAUGCCCAGAUGUGGGACAUACUGGUUUUGGUAGUUACGGCAUGUCUGAUGUCAAGACCUUUGUGGAGAUUUAGGAAUCGUGUCGAUUCACAGUCCAAUAAUUAAAGGGAUUGAAACUCCUAGGAUCUGGAUGCUGCUUCUCAUACCCUUGUCCUACGAACCUUGGAGAAAUCACCCUGGGCAGGAUUUUUAAAGAUACGAAAUCCUAUUGGUUUCAGGUGAUUUGCCAAGCUUGCGGUCAAUGAGAGGCACACAAGCGCUGCUGGGAUCCUUGCCCUUAAAUCUCCUUGUUUGCAGGGCAGGAUAACGCCUACCUGCCAGGCAGGAUUACUGCCUGCAGCACUUUGGGAUCGCUGGGUGCCUGGUGCCGCCGGUGAAAAGUGCAAGCUUCAGAUUGUCUUGCACAUGGCGUGCUGCAGACAGCACAGCCGCCGGGCCCCGCGGCGCUGAGCACCGCCGCAACCGACCUCGCAUUUCUGUGACAAAAUUUAUAGCACAAACCGAUCUGUGAGAGCGGCUGCUCCCUCCCUCCCGGCUUCUUUGCUUCGGGGUGCUGCGACUCAGAGGCUGGAAUAAAGGAGCAGCAUCAGGGUAGAAAGCUUGGGUUUGGGUCUGCACCGAAACCUUUGCUUUAUUCCUUAAAUUGCGGCUUCUGAAGAGAAAAAUGGUCUGUUCUGCCCGGACUGCUGGAGUCAGACGCACAUGGAUGCGUUGCUCCCAGUCAGUUGCCCAUCUCUCCCAGUAGAUGAUGCUAAAGCGCGAUUGUUUUGAGCAGUUUUGAGGGAGUGGAAGAGUUCGUGGGGAAACCCGAUGUGGUGGGAAGGCUCCCGGGGCUCGGUGCCGCAACGUGCAGCAGGUACCCUGAAAAACCUGGAGUCCAAUCUGCUCCCGUUGUAUUUACAGCAGCUGCAAGAGUAAUGGGGUUAGACCUUCCGCAGGUUUUUAUGAUUUUCAGGCAGACGGUUUUGCAGCAGACUGACGUGUUUACGUGCUUUUCAGCAGACUGACGUGUUUACAUGCCUCGGUGUUUCUGCACUUAGGCAGCUAAAACACAAUACCAGCAUCACGCUGCCUCGUCAUGCCAUUCCUUCACUCUUGUCAUUAAGCUCUGCUUAAACGAGAGAGAUUUGUUGGGACUUUGCUAAGUUUGAGCUUCAGUGUGGUUUCCCCCCCUUUCUUUCCCUAACAUAUUACUAACUGCUGCUCGUUGCAGUCAGACCCACUCAGGGCAAAUCGUUUUGAAGCUAAUAUUCAACAAGGGCUGUAGCUUUCUGGUUGCUUUUGAAACGUGCACUGACAUUUAUUACCAGAAACGAGGCAGCGUUUUGCCUGUAGAUGCUGCCAAAGUUCAGAUAUGUUUGAGCUCGGGCUGCUCUCUGGAGCCAGGAGAGGAAGUGGUUCUGGAGUGGGAAAUACAGGCUCAGAUAUACAUUUCCCUGGAAUUUAGGAAAAUUAGAGGGAGUUUGGCCUUGUCUUUACUUCCAUUAGGGCUUUUUUGAGUACUUCUAGGGCAGGCAAUAUAAUUCACUCUGAAAUGAAGUUUUAAAGUUCAAAGAUUCAUCUGGAAGUUAUUAAUAAAAACAAUAAAAAUAUAAACUUAAACCCAGUACAUUUUAGCGAGGAGAAAUUGUCUGUAUUUUUUUUUCAGUUGGAUACUUCUGCAUUUCUAUAGCUGAAAAAUAUAUUAUUUUCCUUUUAGGAAAAAAAAAAAAAGGCAAGUUAUUAGUCUCUUUACGAGACUUCUGAGGUCUGCAGUAAAGAUGUGCACAUCCACCCCUUGGUUCUCCAUGUCCAAGCUGUCUUCCACUCUCUGAGUUAGGAAACAAAAACAAGGUCCCUGUCCUCACAGACAACUUAGAACAAAGCAUAUUUUGGGAAAAGGAUGUACAAAACAAUGAAACAAUCCAACGUGGGACCCAUACAGAUACGUGGAGGGGCUCAGAGAAGGAGUCUGUCGAUUCCUCAAGUGCCUGCUCUGCUGGACCAUUAUUUCUUCUAUAUUAAUACACUCAUCAAUUAUACACCAGGGCUACGUGACGUAGCCCCCCUCCCCUUCCUACAUUCCUGUAUGCUAACAUAAGGCACGCUGUCAGAGGUUCAGCACCGAUGUUGCCUUGUCCCUGACUGAUACGCUCCACUGGGUCAGGAGUAUGUCCCGGGACAGUCAGGAAUGCAGCAAGAUAUAUGGGCAGGUUUUUUUCUUCAAAGCUCUUGGACGAGAAUCAAAUUGCCUGAAGGAAACUUUUAAGAGCCUUUUUUUGUCUCUUUUAAGAAAAGAGAUAACUGCAAGUACAGUGGGUAAUAUUUGCACUAUCUUGCCACUGCCUGUAUUUGGUUUUCUUGGAGAUGUACUGCCUAUUCAGCACAUGCUGCAAGCAGCCACUGCAGAGAUGUUUUGUAUUCCCCGCUCAUUCACACCACACUGGGCUUUCUCCUUCACUCACUUUGGAAAAAGGUUUAUCACUGGGAGUGGGACAGAUGGAAGUAAGUCCUACAAAAGGCAACGAGUAGGGUGAACUUGGUUGUAUGUGGGCCUUAGGGUGACAGAUGAGGUGGAGACCAACUGAUGUGGCUGUGGGGCAGGGAAGUUUGCUGAUGGCAAACUGUAUGGGAGCUGGAAAACAGCCUGGUGGGCUCUUGGACCUACUUCUGAACUAAAAGAGUAGUACUGUCCUCCUGGGAUUUCGUCAUUAGGCAGAUGAUGGCAAGGUAUCCUUAGGCAGAAUGGAUGGCAAAGGUGAGAUUUGUGGAGAAACUCCAGGAGAAGGUUCAAGAAUUACAUCAACGGGAGAUGAAUGUGAAGGACAGCAUGAGAAACCUGGCACUGUUGUGCUCUUUCUACCCCAAGUCAGGCAAAAUAUGAAACUCAGUAUGUAGGAGCAAAACGGGAUGUUUCUCAGUUGUCAGUGAGUCCCAGUAUCUUCUAGAAGUGGGGUUGUUAUUUAAAAAAGGACGGCAAGAGCUUACUUCGCUUUGGACUUCUUCACUGUUCGAUGAGAGUACUCAGAAAAGGAGGAUAAAUAGGGCUGAUGAAGGCUGUAAAGCAGCUAAAAGCAAUCACCGAAUGAAUUACUUCAGAGCUGUAUGCUGUUAUUAGAAUAAGUGUAAGGUACUAUCCUUUUAAAAAUGGCCAAAGAAAAUAAAAUGGGAUCCUCCAGGCAAUAGUAUUCUGACCUCA
Non-coding RNA from Anas platyrhynchos (mallard), 5944 nucleotides. The record is from RefSeq and is a predicted model, not a curated record. Lineage: Eukaryota; Metazoa; Chordata; Aves; Anseriformes; Anatidae.